Long non-coding RNA from Thalassophryne amazonica, 713 nucleotides. RefSeq lists it as uncharacterized. NCBI's taxonomy places the organism in Eukaryota, Metazoa, Chordata, Actinopteri, Batrachoidiformes, Batrachoididae. The record is from RefSeq and is a predicted model, not a curated record. The transcript has 3 exons.
AGACUACAACUCCGCCUAGAUGAGACACCAGUCCAUUGAAGCUUACUUCCUCAGCCAAGGCCAGUACCCAUUUACAGUUGGGCAGACUGGGACAAUGCAGAUGAAUUGUCUUGUCCAAGGUCACAUGUAGCUAACUCCUUUAUUAAAAAAAAAAAGACUGUUGGACCAGGGGACCAGCGUUAAUGUCUACCCCUACCUCAAUGACCUUCUAAGGUGAAAGUAGCUGGUAAUAUAUUAAAUUACACUUCAUAUUCAAGUAUUCAAAUACGAUCGCACAAUUAAGCAGUUAUUGAAAGCAUGCAGAUUACUGUGUACAAAAGUAAAAAAAAUAAAUGUUUAAUUCUGAAGACGACACAAAUGUCAUGCAUAUGUUUGCUGUCAACCUUGAACGCAUCACAGUCAGAGUCUUCAGCAGCCAAUCACAACCACGGCUGGCCAUCGCAUUAGCCAAACGCUUUUUGUUUUUGUAGCCAACUACGGCUACAUGGUUGUUAAUAAUUAUCCGUUCAACAAAACUGAAAGGUGAAAUACUUGUAUAUUAGAGGUACAACUCUAUGACGGUGUUCAAUCAAAGGAAGGAAAGUGUCUGAAUCAUGUUUUAAGGGCUAACAGUGGAAAAGACGAACUCCAUGACCCUGUUGAUUCUUACGGACAUGUUACACGCAUUCCCUCGUUGGUACUAUUUAUGUAAAGCAAUGUUUUGGAAUACUGUU